UUCAAGUUGUCUAAAUAAUCAUCAGCUCUAGUUUGGCAUCAUUAGCAAUUUGUCUGUGAACUUUGGACCUUAACUGAGGAAUAUAAGAGUGAAAGACGUUUGGAGUUGAAUUAUUGGAUUGCCAUUGUUUGACCUACCUGCCAUCCAUGAACCUCUCCUAUUAAGAUCUUCAGAAUGGAAAUUUAACUUCAUCAUCAUCCUGCAAUGUUUCAUUCUUGACAGUGUCACGUAUGGACAAAUGUAAGUCUCCACUUGAGUUUCUGUGAUACAGGAUCCUCUUAGCCAGCAGUGACAAAGAUGUAAGUGAAAGUAGUGGAACCUACAAAUUCAUCACUGUGCAUCAGGUGCUGACUGAAAAAAAAUUCACAACCUAAAAGUUGGGAAUUAUGUUUUAUUCAGCAGACUUACUGAGGACCUUAAGUCCAGGAUAUAGCCUCUCAGAUAGCUCUGAGGGACUGUUCUAAAGAGACUAUAUUUACCAUAAAAUAUAACUGAAAAAUGCCUUCAAACUGAUGCUAGAUUUUACAGAUUGCUAAUUGUUACGAUGCAAUGUGCUUAAAUUGUGAGAGGAAGCUCCUGGUCGUCAACAUCUGGACUCUGAAUCUUCCUGCCACCUAAAAAUUUUUAAGUAAGCUGGAGAUGCAACUGCUAUAAAUAUCAGUAUAAAGAAUUUUUAUGGACACAUACUUUGAAGUAUCUGGUUAAGCACUUAGUAUUGAAAUUGCUGGAACAUGUGAUGGAUUAUGGGAAGAAACAUGAAUAAUUGAAGAAGCAGGCCACAAGGAAAGCAUACAGAAGAAGAUCAAGACAAAAUCCCAAAGUUUGUAAUGGUUUUCUGAAGCCUGCACCCACUCCCUCCAUCACUUCUGUUCAUUACUUGGAAAGCAGCCAAGAUGAUCCUUUUGGGGAGGACAGUUACAUUCAGUGACCAUACUGCCUUAUUAAGGUGGUGGAGGUGAGAAUAAACUACCUUUAAGGAGGUAGUUGCCAUUAUUUUGCAUAAGACCGAAAUGAAGCCACAGAGAAGAGCAAAGACACAGGAUGGAAGGAAAACCAAGUCCCUGAAGCUUCAUUUGUACGAGAGCUGUCAAGAAUACCACCCAACCAUAAAUGCUCUUAUUGUUGGGCAAUGUGAUAGAAAAAUAAAAAUU
This is a long non-coding RNA of Phacochoerus africanus (Common warthog), 1151 nucleotides long. RefSeq lists it as uncharacterized. The transcript is spliced from 10 exons. NCBI's taxonomy places the organism in Eukaryota, Metazoa, Chordata, Mammalia, Artiodactyla, Suidae. The record is from RefSeq and is a predicted model, not a curated record.